UGUUGCAACAACCAACAUUGUCUUUCCUACUCCGCCCAGCUCCUUGUGUGUGUGUGUGUGUGUGUAUACUGUGUGUGUGGGGAGAAAGAGAUCAGUCCGAUGGCCCCUUUCCCCCUGCGAUCGGUACCUUGGGAAGCCUGAAGGAGGAUCAGCACCCAACCCACCCGGAUCCGACUCUCCAAAAAGGACUCCCUCCUCCAAAGCAAAAGAGGUAAAGAGAGAGAAUCCUAGUAAUGCAGAAUGCUUUCCGCAAUGCUACAGCUAAAUCUAUGUAAAGCACAACUAUAUGGCUGCCAUAUUUCAUUAAUCUUCGGAUGGUGGAGUUGAAUGUAAUGCAAACCAGAGGAGGCAUCAGAGUUGGAUUUAUAAACUGUCUGAAUUUCUGGAAAUGAAAGGUUGUGAAAAGUUACAGUAUAUGGCUUGGAUUAUACGAUAUAGCUCCCAGUGCCUCUGUGGUUCACGAAAGUUUGCCCACUCCAAACGCGGACGCACCAUACCCAGCUUCCGGUUUACGUGGAAACCACAUGGCAAUUAAAUGAAUGGUGCGUGCGCACCUCCCCGCUACGAGCACGAGC
Molecule: long non-coding RNA, 575 nt
Organism: Sceloporus undulatus (fence lizard)
Lineage: Eukaryota; Metazoa; Chordata; Lepidosauria; Squamata; Phrynosomatidae
Exons: 3
Source: RefSeq, a predicted model, not a curated record